RNAcentral lists this ribosomal RNA (505 nucleotides) under uncultured bacterium. RNAcentral's name for it is "partial 16S ribosomal RNA". It matches the Rfam family "Bacterial small subunit ribosomal RNA", at positions 28 to 507 of the family's 1533-position model. The record is from RNAcentral.
GACGAACGCUGGCGGCGUGCCUAAUACAUGCAAGUGGGACGCAAGGACACACACUGUGCUUGCACACCGUGUUUUCUUGAGUCGCGAACGGGUGAGUAACGCGUAGGUAACCUGCCUAUUAGCGGGGGAUAACUAUUGGAAACGAUAGCUAAUACCGCAUAAUAUUAAUUAUUGCAUGAUAAUUGAUUGAAAGAUGCAAGCGCAUCACUAGUAGAUGGACCUGCGUUGUAUUAGCUAGUUGGUAAGGUAAGAGCUUACCAAGGCGACGAUACAUAGCCGACCUGAGAGGGUGAUCGGCCACACUGGGACUGAGACACGGCCCAGACUCCUACGGGAGGCAGCAGUAGGGAAUCUUCGGCAAUGGACGAAAGUCUGACCGAGCAACGCCGCGUGAGGGAAGAAGGUUUUCGGAUCGUAAAGCUCUGUUGUAAGUCAAGAACGUGUGUGAGAGUGGAAAGUUCACACAGUGACGGUAGCUUACCAGAAAGGGACGGCUAACUACGUG